RNAcentral lists this ribosomal RNA (492 nucleotides) under uncultured bacterium. RNAcentral's name for it is "partial 16S ribosomal RNA". It matches the Rfam family "Bacterial small subunit ribosomal RNA", at positions 29 to 507 of the family's 1533-position model. The record is from RNAcentral.
AGUGAACGCUGGCGGUAGGCCUAACACAUGCAAGUCGAACGGCAGCACAGUAAGAGCUUGCUCUUACGGGUGGCGAGUGGCGGACGGGUGAGGAAUACAUCGGAAUCUACUUUUUCGUGGGGGAUAACGUAGGGAAACUUACGCUAAUACCGCAUACGACCUACGGGUGAAAGCAGGGGAUCUUCGGACCUUGCGCGAUUGAAUGAGCCGAUGUCGGAUUAGCUAGUUGGCGGGGUAAAGGCCCACCAAGGCGACGAUCUGUAGCUGGUCUGAGGGGAUGAUCAGCCACACUGGAACUGAGACACGGUCCAGACUCCUACGGGAGGCAGCAGUGGGGAAUAUUGGACAAUGGGCGCAAGCCUGAUCCAGCCAUACCGCGUGGGUGAAGAAGGCCUUCGGGUUGUAAAGCCCUUUUGUUGGGAAAGAAAAGCAGCAGGUUAAUACCCCGCUGUUCUGACGGUACCCAAAGAAUAAGCACCGGCUAACUUCGUG